CGGCACGCCUUAUACAUGCAAGUCGAACGAAGUAGUAAUACUUAGUGGCAGACGGGUGAGUAACAUGUAGGUAUCUUCCCUUUGGUGAGGAAUAACACGAGGAAACUUGUGCUAAUACCUCAUAAGUCUUUACGGAGAAAGCUUUAUGCGCCAAAGGAUGAGCCUGCACUUGAUUAGUUUGUUGGUGGGGUAACGGCCUACCAAGACUUUGAUCAAUAGCUGAUCUGAGAGGAUGAUCAGCCACAUUGGGACUGAGACACGGCCCAAACUCCUACGGGAGGCAGCAGUAGGGAAUAUUGCACAAUGGAGGAAACUCUGAUGCAGCGAUGCCGCGUGAGUGAAGAAGGCCUUUGGGUUGUAAAGCUCUUUCGUCGGGGAAGAAAAUGACUGUACCCGAAUAAGAAGGUCCGGCUAACUUCGU
RNAcentral lists this ribosomal RNA (421 nucleotides) under uncultured bacterium. Its description in RNAcentral is "bacterial SSU rRNA". It matches the Rfam family "Bacterial small subunit ribosomal RNA", at positions 40 to 506 of the family's 1533-position model. The record is from RNAcentral.